GACAGAGGUGCCGAGCGUUAGGCGGAAUCACUGGGCUUAAAGCGUGUGUAGGCGGAUCUGUAAGUACCUUGUGAAAAUCCCCACGGCUCAACCGUGGAACUGCUUGGUAUACUGCGGGUCUUGAGCCACCUAGGGGCAAGUGGAACAAACGGUGGAGCGGUGAAAUGCGUAGAUAUCGUUUGGAACGCCAAUGGUGAAAACAACUUGCUGGGGGUGUGCUGACGCUGAGACACGAAAGCCAGGGGAGCAAACGGG
This 255-nucleotide ribosomal RNA is filed under the name uncultured bacterium. Its description in RNAcentral is "partial 16S ribosomal RNA". It matches the Rfam family "Bacterial small subunit ribosomal RNA", at positions 524 to 776 of the family's 1533-position model. The record is from RNAcentral.